This 107-nucleotide small nuclear RNA is filed under the name Aotus nancymaae (Ma's night monkey). The record is from RNAcentral. Lineage: Eukaryota; Metazoa; Chordata; Mammalia; Primates; Aotidae.
UAACUCACUUCGGCAGCACAUAUAGUAAAAUUGGAACGAUACAGAGAAGAUUAGUAUUGCCCCUGUGCAAGGAUGACAUGCAAAUUUGUGAAGCGUUCCAUAAUUUU